GGGCCCGUAGCUCAGUGGUAGAGCACGCGGCUCAUAACCGCUUGGUCGUAGGUUCGAAUCCUACCGGGCCCA
RNAcentral lists this transfer RNA (72 nucleotides) under Anaerolineae bacterium. Its description in RNAcentral is "tRNA-Ile". It matches the Rfam family "tRNA". Rfam says of the family: Transfer RNA (tRNA) molecules are approximately 80 nucleotides in length. Their secondary structure includes four short double-helical elements and three loops (D, anti-codon, and T loops). Further hydrogen bonds mediate the characteristic L-shaped molecular structure. tRNAs have two regions of fundamental functional importance: the anti-codon, which is responsible for specific mRNA codon recognition, and the 3' end, to which the tRNAs corresponding amino acid is attached (by aminoacyl-tRNA synthetases). tRNAs cope with the degeneracy of the genetic code in two manners: having more than one tRNA (with a specific anti-codon) for a particular amino acid; and 'wobble' base-pairing, i.e. permitting non-standard base-pairing at the 3rd anti-codon position. The record is from RNAcentral. Lineage: Bacteria; Bacillati; Chloroflexota; Anaerolineae.